RNAcentral lists this ribosomal RNA (468 nucleotides) under uncultured bacterium. Its description in RNAcentral is "partial 16S ribosomal RNA". It matches the Rfam family "Bacterial small subunit ribosomal RNA", at positions 28 to 507 of the family's 1533-position model. The record is from RNAcentral.
GACGAACGCUGGCGGCGUGCUUAACACAUGCAAGUCGAACGGACAGGCCCUGCUCUUGUGGGGUUCUCGAGUGGCGAACGGGUGAGUAACACGUGAGUAAACUGCCCUUGUCUUUGGGAUAACUUCAGGAAACUGGGGCUAAUAUCGGAUAGGAGCUCUUGCUGCAUGGUGGGGGUUGGAAAGUUUCGGCGGUUGGGGAUGGACUCGCGGCUUAUCAGCUUGUUGGUGGGGUAGUGGCUUACCAAGGCUUUGACGGGUAGCCGGCCUGAGAGGGUGACCGGCCACAUUGGGACUGAGAUACGGCCCAGACGCCUACGGGAGGCAGCAGUGGGGAAUAUUGCACAAUGGGCGGAAGCCUGAUGCAGCAACGCCGCGUGCGGGAUGACGGCCUUCGGGGUGUAAACCGCUUUGGCCGGUGACGAAGCGUGAGUGACGGUAAUGGGUAAAGAAGCACCGGCUAACUACGUG